UGAGUAACACGUGAGUGACCUGCCUUUUAGACUGGAACAACUUACCGAAAGGUGAGCUAAUGCCGGAUGAGUUAUAUAAGUGCAUGUUUAUAUAGGAAAAGUUGGGGAGACCUGACGCUGAAAGAUGGACUCGCGUCCCAUUAGCUAGUUGGUAGGGUAAUGGCCUACCAAGGCGACGAUGGGUAGCCGGCCUGAGAGGGUGGCCGGCCACACUGGGACUGAGACACAGCCCAGACUCCUACGGAAGGCAGCAG
This 254-nucleotide ribosomal RNA is filed under the name uncultured bacterium. RNAcentral's name for it is "partial 16S ribosomal RNA". It matches the Rfam family "Bacterial small subunit ribosomal RNA", at positions 107 to 354 of the family's 1533-position model. The record is from RNAcentral.